RNAcentral lists this long non-coding RNA (5051 nucleotides) under Musa acuminata (dwarf banana). Its description in RNAcentral is "long non-coding RNA (MACU_LNC007358)". Lineage: Eukaryota; Viridiplantae; Streptophyta; Magnoliopsida; Zingiberales; Musaceae. The record is from RNAcentral.
CCUCUUCUCUAACGGCCAUAUCCAUUGUUUAUCAUUGUGGAAAAGUGCCUAAGAUGGAACAUAUAAAAACUUUGGCCGAGGUGUCACGGACUUAGCUGGUUUUGCCUAAGUCGUGCGGCACCUAUGCAUGUCCGUCCGUAAAGGUCAGCUUUCCCGAAACCUCCCAUGGUCCCUUAGAACCUACAAAAGAGAAAACUGGUUAGAGAAAACACCUCACUCGGGAUCCACAAGCAAACCUUUCAGGAAACACUUCAUAGACAAUGCAAAUUAUAAACAGACUUUACAAGCUCUGAACGGUUGCACAACAAACGGUUAAAAUGGUCCACUACAGAUUGAAUAUCUCUCAUAAGUGUCCACAUGACACAACCUUUAUUUACAAGCCUAAGAAGACCACCAAACCCAAUUAAAAUGGGGCUGUUAAGCCUUUGAUCGUCUCUCUACAUGCUGUGCAAAGCAUGAACAAAUCAAAAGACACGGACAUACAUAAGUAUUACAUUAAACAUCCUGUUUAGAACUUUGUCUGUGACAUUCUCCCCCACUUAUUCCUUCGACGUCCUCGUCGAAGCUUUUGCCAACACUGCAACUCCUCGCCUUUGCUGAGUCUUCAAUCUUUUGCUCCAGCUGCAAUGCGCCUUUUGGCUCUUAGCUGCUCUCCGCUGCUGUUUUUGAGUAGUUGAACUUUUGAUCUGCUAUGCUGCUUCAACUCGCCAAUGACUCUGACUCUAGUGUGGGGUUGGCUGAGUUGUGCUGAUCUCUGUUGGUUCCUGCAGAUCCAUUAGAUGAAGGAAAAGACCAUCCUUACUAUGCGUCAGUCUCUCAAAUGCUUUAUGCUGCUUGAACUGGGUGGAUGCUUGUUGGAGCUUUAACGAGCAUCGCCUCGCAAACUUCUAAAGUUUUGGGUCAUUCCUCCACAAAAUUUGUCCAUCGACUCUUUUUUUACUUAGUUGUCACUUCCAAGUAGAUUCGCAUCACUUCCACUUUCGAUUGGCAUUCUGUUGAGAAAUGAAGCGAAUAAUCUACUCUCAGUAGCACUGAUCACCAUUGGUAAGGAUUUGACAACUAUUGUCAUCUAAUAUCUUCGAAGGAUCUUUGAACUUAUGUAGGGCUCCUCUACUGGAUAGAUAAGAGAAUUGGGGUACUCGAUUUCACCCAUUCUCUUAAGAGUUGAGAAGACAAUUGUUACUUGACUUCGCCUGCCUCCUCAAGGGUUGUAUUCCAUGCAUCGAGCUGGUUACUGACUUUCGCUUGCUCUUCUUUGCUCACACUUCUGAAGCACACGAAGUGUUUGCACUCAUUGCAUUGAGUUAGCUACUGUGAUUCACCUUCUCAAUGCCAUCGAACUUCUAGAACGCAGAAAGUUUUUACCCCAACUUGGAGUAAGUCUCUAAUAGUUUUGGUCGCCUCUGGGAUUGUACCGUCUUCUCCAUCAACCCUGCCGCCUACUCCACUGAGUAGCAAAGGUACAGUAGCACGUACUGCCUGCUUCGUUCCUUAGUCGUGCACUCUUGCAUGACUCGAAGUUCUUCACUUUCAGCUAUUUUGAUGAGAAGCUCACUGACACCGGUCUUACGAAGUUCCUUGGUCUCUACCCUUCAGCCUUGUCUUGGUACUUGGAGUUUGCCUCUGCAUGCUCCACCUUCUCGGCCCCUUUCACGACCAAGCGCUCUCCUUCUAUGAGAGCAAGGGAUCAAUGACAUUUACGGAAGUCUCGCCUCUGCAGUACCAUGGCGUUGCCCAUGGCCCAUGGCCCUUCAUGAUCAGUAGAUAUGUCUCUAUGACACUCCUCCGAGUCCACCUACAUUCUAACUGAUGCUUGAUUUUGGGUAGUUAAGUCCCUCUGGGCUCAUCGUCGCUUCCUCGCCCCUUUCGACCCCCUGCUUCAACACUUCUGUGUUCUCCAAGCAGUUCCCUUUGGUCGAUGGAGAGACAGACUACAACUCCCAUGCAUGGCCUCUGUCAUCAUGUUGUAGGGUUUGCACCGAUUCUGUUCUCCUUAGUUUCCUUAGUAGCAAUGUUUGCUUACUCGACCUUGUCCUUUGACUUGUCAAGCUCCCUUAAGCGAAUAUAGGCUCUGGAGCAGUCCAACUCUCCAACUGCUUUGAUGAUACCUCUGUAUGAUCAAGUCCCUCCCAUGGGACUCACUGGUACUUGCAUUCGAACUUUUCCCUCGGUGGUACACAUCCCCCAUAUACUGAUGACCAAGGCUUUCAUCCGAUGCACGCACGGAAGACCCGCCUCUGUGGUACCAUGGCCUUCACUCGAAUCUAUAGCCCUUCUUGCCGUCGUGUUAUUCACCGAAGUGGAGCUCCCAGUAGCUCCUGAUCAUACCUCCGUAUGAUAUAGUCCCUCACGGGAUUAUGUCGUGUGUAUCGCAUUGCCACGAACUGUUCCACCACGAUCCGCUGCACCUUGUCGCCUCCUGGUGACAUCUCCAUUGCAUUCUGAUCCUUAUGGGAUGAACUCAAAUUGUGAUCCCUCCAUGUGUGGCCUCUACCAAUACAUCGCAAGGUCUCUUCCACCUUCGAUUUUAUUCGCUCCUUUGGUAAUCGACCUUCAUCUACCCGCUCUUGGGUCACACUUAGAUGAAGCACCGCUCUAGGACAGUCCGUCGCCUAGUAGCUCCCGAAGUCCACCAACUUCGCUGAAAAUUGUGCACUAUCGUCUGGAUCCUAGGCCUCUGCCCCCACCAGCAUAAUUUUCGUUGCGCACCGCUUCCUUUAUGGCAACUUUAAUGGCAACACUAUGGCAUAUUCUUCAAGAGCACUCACCUCCGCGUCUUCUUGCCCCGUGCCAAGGCCUUCUGAACCCAACUUCGCCUCUGCAAUUUGAGUCGCCUUAGUUCCUCCAUCAAAUGCUUCUCCGAGAUAAGGUGCAUGUGCCCAGAAGCUCCCUUCGUCUUUGGCACCAUGCAAGAUAAGUCCGCUCUAUCAGAAUGAAGGACCCAUGGAACAAUAUAGUCCUGCUCUUGCCUCUGCAAGAGUUCAUGUCCUUGACCUCUAUCCAAGGAAAGCUCUAUGCCUCUGCUCCAUGUUCCAUCUUCUAUGCCGGCUCACUUCAUGCGGCUUAGGUACUUUGCCAAGUUACACCUAAGUUGCUCCGCUCCUCGUUUUUGCAUUGAGUUGAUGGUGGCCCUCGUGCUCAUCAUUCCACAGGUCAGCCCUCCCUUGAGUCUGAUCUCCAUAUCGACUCAAAGUGUGCCUUCGUUUGUGUUGCUGCUUUGGGUCGCUCCCCCACUUGAUCUCGUAAUGCAUCCACUAAUGCAUUCUCUCAAGCGAAAACAUGCGACGACUCCUCGCCGCUCGCUCGGUCCAUUGAGCUUCAUGGAGUUGUUGUUUUUGAGGUAUUACUCAACAUGUGCGGUCUAUUGCACGUGAUUCUCCCUCUAGAGAGCUGGGACUUAUCCAUCCUGGAUAUCUAUCCCGUUGGAGCAACAUCUCUCUUCGUUUCCUUCUCUCUGAAAGUUUCGUAGACCACCAUCCCCUUGGACUACUUCGAUUUGCUGAACAAACUAUGUAUUGUUCUGCCUCCUGCAAACGCACUUGCUAGAUUGCGACUCCACGUCAAUACAGCCCCCGCUGCACCACUCAAGGCCUAGCAACAUGCUGAACUCGCUGCACACUUCAGCCUCCUACGGACGUAUCCUUUUCAUGUCGAAGAGAAAGUUCCAAUGCUCCAUGGCGCCGAGUUUCGAUCGCCUUGGGAUGGCCGCGAACAUUCCAUCGUCCACAUACAAGCCCUUGCAUGAGUACCGAAUUCUUCGAGUUAGCAAUUCCCCUCACCUCUAUGAGCUUUGCACAACUCUUUCGGUCAUUGUGCAACUCAUUCCACCUUGUAUGGUCUCAUCCUUUACCAAGCGCCUCGCUUGCCUUGAGCACCAUUAAGUGUAGUUGUCAACGUCGAGCCGUAGCUCAAACUCAGCCAUCCCAACCUUUGUGCGCUACGCAUUCUUCCAAGCUUGCUUGUUCUCGUGGUGCCUCUUGCGCGAAGGGUUGGCCAUUCCUCUGAAUGUCAAUCUUAGAUGCUCGCUAUUCCGAGCGACUCCUUUUCCCUAGGACAGUCAACACACACAACCCCGUUAGGUCCCCUGCAUUUGCAUGCCAAGUGUUUUUAUGAGUGCUUGUCCCGCUCUGAUACCAUCUGUCACGGACUUAACUGGUUUUGCCUAAGUCGUGCGGCACCUAUGCGUGUCCGUCCGCAAAGGUCAGCUUCCCCAAAACCUCCCAUGGUUCCUUAGGACCUACAAAAGAGAAAACGUGUUAGAGAAAGCGCCUCACUCGGGAUUCACAAGCAAACAUUUCAGGAAACACUUCAUAGACAAUGCAAAUUACAAACAGACUUUAUAAGUUCUAAACGGUUACACAAUAAAGGGUCAAAAUGGUCCACUACAGACCGAAUAUCUCUCACAAGUGUCCACAUGACACAACCUUUAUUUACAAGCCUAAGAAGGCCACCAAACCCAACUAAAAUGGGGCUGUUAAGCCUUCGAUCGUCCCUUUACAUGCUGUGCAAAGCAUGAACAAACUAAAAGACACGGACAUACAUAAGUAUUACAUUAAACAUCCUGUUUAGAACUUUGUCCGUGAUAGAGGGUCGGUAUGAGCUUCUUAGGAAGAGACAUGGUAGCUCAACUAAGAUUUGGGAGGCAAGCCAUGAAAAGGAGGGGCUUAUGUUAGACAUGUUAACUGGUCAUGUACCUGAAACAAGAAAGAUGUGAUGAAGAACUAAUUGUGCAAACCUUUCUAAAGUAGCCUUUAUCAAGUUAAUUAAAUAUAUAGUUAUCUUUUUAGGCACACACAUUUCCAAUUGUCAAAUUUGUUAAUGUUCUUCUCUUCUAACAUGGCAGAAAAACCAAAUAAUGGAGGAGGUCUUGUUUAUGUUAGGUAUGGAUGGUAAUGUUGAAGGACAAAGUUUGAAAGUUCAUAGAUAUGAAAUAUUAAAAAGGAAUGGAGUGUGUGAAUAAAAGGUACCUUCAAACACUGUAUACUUUGCUGUAUCAAGAUUCAGUAGCAAUGUACUUGGAACUGACCCAUCAAGUGAAAGAGAAAUUUAUC